CCGUGCUAAGUGGGGAGGUAGCGGUUCCCUAUACUUGCAAUCCGCUUAGGCAAGACCUAAUUCCUUUGCUGCGGGAAGCAAUUUAUGAGGUCUGACUUUGACACGUAGUGUUGAGAAGUCGGUCCUGGUCAAUAUAAGCCCAUGAACCAUGUCAGGUCCGGAAGGAAGCAGCAUUAAGUGGUAACUUGUAUGUGGCUGGGGUAGCCGUCUUUGAGCUGGCGAUCGAGGUUCCGCUCAUGUAGGCUUAACAAGGCAGAGGUGCACGG
Molecule: signal recognition particle RNA, 266 nt
Filed under: Macrococcus bovicus
Lineage: Bacteria; Bacillati; Bacillota; Bacilli; Caryophanales; Staphylococcaceae
Description: signal recognition particle sRNA large type
Rfam family: Bacterial large signal recognition particle RNA
About the family: The signal recognition particle (SRP) is a universally conserved ribonucleoprotein involved in the co-translational targeting of proteins to membranes. Archaeal SRP consists of a 7S RNA and homologues of the eukaryotic SRP19 and SRP54 proteins. In most bacteria, the SRP consists of a 4.5S RNA and the Ffh protein (a homologue of the eukaryotic SRP54 protein).
Source: RNAcentral